AUUGAACGCUGGCGGAAUGCUUUACACAUGCAAGUCGAGCGGCAGCACGGGGGCAACCCUGGUGGCGAGCGGCGAACGGGUGAGUAAUACAUCGGAACAUGCCCAGUCGUGGGGGAUAACACUUCGAAAGAAGUGCUAAUACCGCAUACGUCCUGAGGGGGAAAGCGGGGGAUCGCAAGACCUCGCGCGAUUGGAGUGGCCGAUGUCAGAUUAGCUAGUUGGUGGGGUAAAGGCCUACCAAGGCAACGAUCUGUAGCUGGUCUGAGAGGAUGAUCAGCCACACUGGGACUGAGACACGGCCCAGACUCCUACGGGAGGCAGCAGUGGGGAAUUUUGGACAAUGGGGGCAACCCUGAUCCAGCCAUUCCGCGUGAGUGAAGAAGGCCUUCGGGUUGUAAAGCUCUUUCGGCAGGAACGAAACGGUGAGCUCUAACAUAGCUUGCUAAUGACGGUACCUGAAGAAGAAGCACCGGCUGACUACGUG
This 484-nucleotide ribosomal RNA is filed under the name uncultured bacterium. RNAcentral's name for it is "partial 16S ribosomal RNA". It matches the Rfam family "Bacterial small subunit ribosomal RNA", at positions 30 to 507 of the family's 1533-position model. The record is from RNAcentral.